AAAAAAAAAUAGCCCAGCCACCCCGCAGUCCCGCACGACCUUUGCCUCCUCGAUCCCACCUCGACAUCCAUCUCGCCGCCACCUCCUGCUCCGCCCCGCCGUGCGCCGCCCGCCGCCACCGUGCCUGCGCCGCCGUCCCCCGUAUCGACUCCGCUGUCCGAAUCCCGCCGCCGCCGCGCCUGCGCCGCCGUCCCCAGUAUCCACGCCGGCCUCCAAGAAGCACCGGACGUCGUCCCCCUUCUUCCCCUUCUCCACGCCCAGCCCCGGCCCGGCGCACCACCUCUUCUCCUCCUCCUCCGUGGCCUCCCCCAGGGCCUCCUCCAAGUCCCCCGCCCCGGCGGGCCCCAAGUCCCCGGCGCCCGCCACCCCGGCCAGGCGCCUCCUGCGCCUGCCCUUCCCGCCGCCCUCGCCCGCCAAGCACAUCCGCCAGGCGCUCGCUAGGAGGCACGUCUCGCCGCGCCCGGCGAUCCCCGAGGAGGACGGCGACGGCGGAAGGGGCCUCGACAAGGGCUUCGGCUUCAACAAGGGCUUCGCCGCCAAGUACGACCUCGGGGACGAGGUCGGGAGGGGCCACUUCGGCUACACCUGCGCCGCCAAGAUCAGGAAGGGGGCGCGCAAGGGGGACGCCGUCGCCGUCAAGCUCAUCCCCAAGGCCAAGGUUUGAAGGCGCCUGACAAGCCCAUCGUCGCGCCGCCGACCUGCUGAAAUUCGAGGUCGGCACCCGUGCGAACUCAGGUAACCUUGGUCGUGCUUGACAGGUAUUGUUACAUCAUCUCAGUUUCUUCAUUUUAUCAAAAAAAAUCUCAGUUUCUUCAGAUUGACAUGGUCAGCCAUGUACUAAAAAUGUGAUGCUGUUUCUGUAGUUAGACUUUUAAAUAGCAAGUGGGGUAUGUGUGUGUUGCAUCUGAUGUGCGCGAGCUCAACCUGGUGAGCUCCUGGGAGAAGAAAAAAGGAGCCACAACAGCCCUGGCGAGCUCGAGAUGACGACGGUGCCACAGGUGGUGUGGGAGAGGAGAUGGUCUCCAUCCAAGGUCCGAGGACCAGCCAUGACGUCGAGCUGCUGCAGCUUGGAGUUAGGAGGGUAUUCGCACCCCGGCGUGUCCCGAAAUGUACAAAGGACUGACAUGUGUCAUCUAUAGCAUGCCCCCUUUGUCUGAAUGUUCAAGUAGAAGAGUUUCAUCUCAUUUGGCAAGGAGCACUGCAAUAAUACAUGCAACUCUUCACAGCUACUAACAUGAAGUUGCACUCAGGCUCUCGCAUGGACUAAAGAGUUAUUGUCGUUGUCCUGUGACAUGGAUCACUUGUUCCUCGAACUUCCCUGGCUGAAGGAGAAACUGGAGAAGUACAUUGACGAGGCCUCGGCGACUGGAUCAUGGAGCCCAAACGUGCUUCGCACCACCACAGAUGCUUGAUUGAAAGAAGGGUUGGAGCCUCGCUGCAUCACCAGGGAUUUGAAAUGGGACGUCCCUGUCCCACACGAGAAGUACAAGGAUAAGGUUUGCCAUCUGAGCACAUAGAGAUUCAUUGUGAAAAUUUAUCUCUCUCCAUGUUGUAUUAAUGUUUGUCCAUGUGAUGAACCGUUCCCAAUUAGCUUGGCCAUAUGCAUUAGUCAUGAUUUGCUACUGAUUCUUUUUGGUUCAUUAUGUAUCUUUGACUAUCCAACUCCAUGGACAUGUUUUUAUUUUCCUGUUCUGUCUUGAGAGCACACAUGUGGAGUUGUGCAGGGCAUGUUGAGCUGUACAGGGAGUAUAUAUCUAUUGAGUUCUGCGGUUAUUUUCAAUUUCGAUGGUGGAAACGAUUUAAGGAUAAGUUGGCGGAAUGCCUCGAAGAUGUUUUAUAAGCUUUAAAAAUAGUGGAUGGUCCGAGGAUCCUGUGGCAUGCUCUGAUUUGUUUCAGAGUUCGGAUGUUUCGAUGAUGUGCAUCGUGUGCUUCCGAGGCAGCAGAAGGUUGUACACAUAUCAACGUCUAUGGGUGAAGAUAUCCUACCAUAUCUAGAACCUGUUUGAUAUGCAGAUUAGUCAAGCUUUUGCAGAGCAGUCCUCAUAAGCUGCAAGAUACAUGCAUGUCUGCAAUUCUGGUUUUGUAGCAGCUGCUAUAGAACAGGAUUUUAUCCCAUAUCCAGAGAAGGUUCUUGAAAUGAGGAAAGGCUUUAUUGUGCUUGGCAAGGAUGAUGAUUUUUGUGCAUGAGCUAGGACUAGCAACAGCAGUUGGCAGAACCAGGAUGGAAGUCAUAUUGCCUCCUUUUAUUGAAGCUGCUAUUUCAGGUUUUGGGUUGGAUUAUAGCGAGCUAAUGUAGUACGUUCAUAUAUUGGUCACUUGUGGAUUGCAGAUUUAAGAAUAUGAAUUCUAUUGAGAUUGAGGCAGCCUAAUAAGUGGAAGAAAAUAUUAGAAAUUGCAUGGCAGCCAGAGUGAGGUAUGUUUUUCAUGUCCAACUUUCAAUUUAGUAUGUUCUCAUUUUGAUUGUAGUUGGUAAUUGUACGGCCAUAUAGUCAUAUCUCUACUAUUAAAGGGGAUUAGGUAUGCCGUUUCGUUCGUUCAUAUCGUUACCUCAUCAUUCAUUUUGUUCGUUACCCUCCUCCCUAACUGCUUGAUUUACCUCGAAGACUCCUCCUCCUAACGAUUCUUUCCCAGUUUUCAACCCUUUUUUGCUAGCUGACAGAAAGAGUCACUCCACAGUCCACAUGAAUCCUCUCUUCCUCGAUCUCUCUCUGAGUCUCAGCCCUGUCUCUUCUAGGGUUCUCACACCGCCGACUCUGUCCGCCUCAUGCGGACCUACCGAAUGGCAAGGUGAAGCGAGAGCUCGGCUCUCAAGAGGCAGCCGGAGGAGAUGGUGGUGCCAUGGUCGCGGCGAGGGUGGCGUACAGUCCCAUAGUUGAGCUUGCCAUGAGAUUCGACAAGUGCGUGCUUCACUGCCCCCUCUGCACCCCCCCUCCUAACUUCCUUAUUCCACACUCGGUUGGUGCCGUGAAGAUCGACUUGUACGGCGGGUGCCACGAUGUGAUUAGCCUGUCCUACCAGACCCUCCUAUGCGUGCUCGCUCACCAUGCGGCUGGUCAAGUAGUGCCGUGCGCUGAGCGCUCCCCGUCCCAGGGGCCCUGACUCCCGACGCAUCCAACCGCAUAAGGCGCUUGUGCCCGCUGCCCCUUUCCUCCAUGUCCGUGAGGAGAAUCCCUACAGUAUGCAUGUAUUUUGUUAAUCCCCUCUUAUAUUAUUUUAAUUUCAGCAAGACAACCACAUAUGAGACAGGAACUGUAGCGUCCAUUGUCUUCUAUAUCUGCUUGCAUUAACUUUCCAUUACUAUUAGCCUGUGGGAUAUAUGAUGCGAGGGAACGAACAUGCCAUAAGGCACAGGUGAGUCCCCUGGGUGCUCUUUGCAUUACUAUUCUUCUUAUUCGGCUGAUUUUGAUCUUCUUAAUCCUUUUCUCAUUAAUACCGUUUGUAGUUUGUGAGAUCUUUCUCUGACCACAUGCAAGCCUAUGCUCCACCAUCCCAUUCUUUGUUAUUUUAUUUCCAACUUUAAGACAAUUUUAUCUUUCAAACCAAAAGUACAAUUUAUGAUCCGUUUGCAUAUUGUGAUUAUGACGAGGAGAACUUCAAAACAAUACCACUUUUGAAUGUGUUUCAGCAUGUUCUAAAAAAAUCAAAUUCUAAAGCAGAAUGAAACACUAUUAAAAGUUCAAAGUUUUGUUUGAAUAUCUCAUUAUUGAAUUGUUGCAUCAAAUUAUUAAAUUUAUAUGAAACAAGUUUGAAGCAUAUAUGAGUUUAUAUGAUAUAUGUUUUAUUAAUCUAUGUACACAAAGCCAAUGUUUUUAACAAAAAGAAAGAUUAUGCUUAUACUUCAUUAUGCAUCCUGUACAUAUAUAAUGGUAUAGAUAAUUCCAUUGCGUGUGAAUGAACGGCGCAUUGAGAAUGGCGCCAGAACAAAACCAUGGAAGUAAACUCCUUUUGCUUAUAUCACAAAUUUUGUGCCAUGGUGCAAAAAGAGAGCAAGUGCAUAUGUAUGUUCAGAUAUGAUGAAACCAAAUAAGGUUGCAACUAACAUGUUAUAUUGACUUUCAGUUAUGAACCUUAUGACUCUGAUGCUCUCAAGUUUGGCAACUGUUUGUACUAAGGGCCUGUUCGGCAAUGCUCCGGCUCUCAACUUCCAUUAACUCCGCAGUGAAGUUCAGGCGAACGAGCAAAUUCCGUGGAGCUCAAAUCAAGAAGCUUGCUAUUCUGUUAGUGCAAAUUUGAAGGAGUUGGGGAAGCUGCCUUUUCCCGGCUCUAUGAAAACGAAGAAGCUGGAGUUGAGCGUUAUUAUGAUUUGCUGCCAUCGCCAAGUGAGCUAUGCGUACCGAUUCGCUUUGUCUCUCCCCCCAACAGCUCAUAUCUCCUCUCCGUAGUGGUCGUUGUACAUUUUUUAAUUAGAAGAAAGGUGCCAUUGUAUGCCUACUGAGCUGGGCUUUGCUCCCUUCCCUCCCAAACGGGCUUCAGCCCAUCUAAAUGGGUUGUCAACCCAUGCCAGCGAUGAGAAGCAUGAGGUGCGCAGCCGAACGUUUUCCCAUCACUGUGAGAAACUAGAAAACCGAAGUGAGGAGUAGAAGUUGAGGAGUUUGGGAAGCUAGGCUGUUGCCGAACAGGCCCUAAAGAUAGGUUAAGUGUCUGAAGCUAUACUGGAAGAUGUAAUUAUUUCUCUCAGUUCGUAGUGCUUGACUAGAUGGCGUCUUCGUACGUAUAGCUUGAAUAGAUAUAACCAUGGACGUUUAAUUAUAAUAUGCAACGCUAGAUAUAUUUCUUUGUCUUGUCCUCCCUUAAUUUGUUGGUCCAGUGUAGAUUAGUAGUAUUCUAUCACAUGGAAAUAUAUGCACGUCUAUUAUUAUUAUGUUCUUGUGACAAUCACAGAACCUUUACUGGAAUGCAUCAUUUAUGUGAACAUUAUAAUGCUUAUUUGUAAUGAUGAUCUAAUUCCGCAUGAUGAUCACAAAAAGGUAGCAGCUGGCAUCAUAGCCAUUUAUGUUGCUUCUAAUCAAGACAAAUCCUACAUUCAAACCAUCUCGAUGUUCUUCGCCAGCAUCGUCACAUCGAGCCUAUGUAUAUACUAUUGGAUCAAGACAAAUCCUACAUUCAAACCAUCUCGAUGUUCUUCGCCAGCAUCAUCACAUCGAGCCUAUGAUGGGUAUGAGUUGAGGAAGCGGUUUUUAUUAUACUUGCUAAAACAUCGUGGGAAUGAAGCUAAAGGCAACUUUCUUGAUAUUUAUGAAAGAAUUUCUUAAGCGCAUCAUCUAGAUAUUAAUAGUUUUGUAAUAGAUGUUUAGUUGGAACAUCGCUCAGUUUGUUACAUGGACAUGUUGUUAAUCUUUCUUUUUGUUAUCAAUUUACAUUGCAAAAAUGGACUUUAAUUAUUUAAUAAUUGUGUUUGUGUUA
Triticum urartu is the source of this 5403-nucleotide non-coding RNA. The record is from RefSeq and is a predicted model, not a curated record. NCBI's taxonomy places the organism in Eukaryota, Viridiplantae, Streptophyta, Magnoliopsida, Poales, Poaceae.